Molecule: non-coding RNA, 237 nt
Filed under: Limosilactobacillus equigenerosi
Lineage: Bacteria; Bacillati; Bacillota; Bacilli; Lactobacillales; Lactobacillaceae
Description: Lactobacillus equigenerosi T-box sequence
Rfam family: T-box leader
About the family: Uncharged tRNA acts as the effector for transcription antitermination of genes in the T-box leader family.
Source: RNAcentral
AUAAACGUAUCGAAAAGCAGAGUAGCAAUUGGCGCGGUUAAGAGAGUUUCCGGGAGGUGCAAGGAAAUCCGUUAAGAUGGUGAAGAUGGGCUUGGAGUGGCACUGGCGAAUGGUUCAGUCAGUGACGGGGUUGCGCUCGUUAUUUCCGCAAGGUGAUUCGAUGGAGUCACCUAAUGAGGUUAAAGUUGUGAGACUUUAACGAAUUUAAAGGUGGUAACACGUGGAAACGUCCUUUUA